GGGGGGCUGGCGCAACGGUAGCGCGUCAGAUUCCAGUAGAAUUGGGGAGUCCUGAAGGUUAUCGGUUCGAAUCCGAUGUCCCUCA
This is a non-coding RNA of Neonectria punicea, 85 nucleotides long. The record is from the annotation of a GenBank genome assembly. NCBI's taxonomy places the organism in Eukaryota, Fungi, Ascomycota, Sordariomycetes, Hypocreales, Nectriaceae.